CGGGACACGUGGUAUCCUGUCUGAAUAUGGGGGGACCAUCCUCCAAGGCUAAAUACUCCUGACUGACCGAUAGUGAACCAGUACCGUGAGGGAAAGGCGAAAAGAACCCCGGCGAGGGGAGUGAAAAAGAACCUGAAACCGUGUACGUACAAGCAGUGGGAGCCUCUUAAUGGGGUGACUGCGUACCUUUUGUAUAAUGGGUCAGCGACUUAUAUUCUGUAGCAAGGUUAACCGAAUAGGGGAGCCGAAGGGAAACCGAGUCUUAACUGGGCGUUAAGUUGCAGGGUAUAGACCCGAAACCCGGUGAUCUAGCCAUGGGCAGGUUGAAGGUUGGGUAACACUAACUGGAGGACCGAACCGACUAAUGUUGAAAAAUUAGCGGAUGACUUGUGGCUGGGGGUGAAAGGCCAAUCAAACCGGGAGAUAGCUGGUUCUCCCCGAAAGCUAUUUAGGUAGCGCCUCGUGAAUUCAUCUCCGGGGGUAGAGCACUGUUUCGGCAAGGGGGUCAUCCCGACUUACCAACCCGAUGCAAACUGCGAAUACCGGAGAAUGUUAUCACGGGAGACACACGGCGGGUGCUAACGUCCGUCGUGAAGAGGGAAACAACCCAGACCGCCAGCUAAGGUCCCAAAGUCAUGGUUAAGUGGGAAACGAUGUGGGAAGGCCCAGACAGCCAGGAUGUUGGCUUAGAAGCAGCCAUCAUUUAAAGAAAGCGUAAUAGCUCACUGGUCGAGUCGGCCUGCGCGGAAGAUGUAACGGGGCUAAACCAUGCACCGAAGCUGCGGCAGCGACACUAUGUGUUGUUGGGUAGGGGAGCGUUCUGUAAGCCUGUGAAGGUGGCCUGUGAGGGUUGCUGGAGGUAUCAGAAGUGCGAAUGCUGACAUAAGUAACGAUAAAGCGGGUGAAAAGCCCGCUCGCCGGAAGACCAAGGGUUCCUGUCCAACGUUAAUCGGGGCAGGGUGAGUCGACCCCUAAGGCGAGGCCGAAAGGCGUAGUCGAUGGGAAACAGGUUAAUAUUCCUGUACUUGGUGUUACUGCGAAGGGGGGACGGAGAAGGCUAUGUUGGCCGGGCGACGGUUGUCCCGGUUUAAGCGUGUAGGCUGGU
This 1105-nucleotide ribosomal RNA is filed under the name Escherichia coli. Its description in RNAcentral is "partial 23S ribosomal RNA". It matches the Rfam family "Bacterial large subunit ribosomal RNA", at positions 418 to 1529 of the family's 2925-position model. The record is from RNAcentral. Lineage: Bacteria; Pseudomonadati; Pseudomonadota; Gammaproteobacteria; Enterobacterales; Enterobacteriaceae.